This 201-nucleotide microRNA precursor is filed under the name Oryza punctata. Its description in RNAcentral is "MIR812 microRNA precursor family". It matches the Rfam family "MIR812 microRNA precursor family". Lineage: Eukaryota; Viridiplantae; Streptophyta; Magnoliopsida; Poales; Poaceae. The record is from Rfam by way of RNAcentral.
AAUAAGUGUAAUUUUACACUGUUCAUAUCUAACGUUUGACCGUUCAUCUUAUUUGAAAAUAAAUUAUGAUUAGUAUUUUUUAAUUAGAUGUUAAAAUAUGAACAACACUUUAUGUCUGACUAAAUUUUUUUAUUUUUUAUAAUUUUUUAAAUAAAACAAACGGUUAAACGUUGAACACGGUUAUCGAUGAUUAUGUUUAUU